GACCUGAUAGCAUACUUGGUUAGUGCGUCUCCUCAAAAUCCCCAAUUGUCCACGAAGGUUAAGCAGGAAGACCCCUGUUCGACUCGGGGUCAGGUCA
Non-coding RNA from Mycena metata, 97 nucleotides. The record is from the annotation of a GenBank genome assembly. NCBI's taxonomy places the organism in Eukaryota, Fungi, Basidiomycota, Agaricomycetes, Agaricales, Mycenaceae.